UACGUAGGGGUCGAGCGUUGUCCGGAGUUACUGGGCGUAAAGCGCGCGCAGGCGGCGCGAUAAGACCGGCGUGAAAUCCCCGGGCUUAACCUGGGAACCGCAUUUGUGACUGCAUAGCUGGAGUACGGCAGAGGGGGAUGGAAUUCCGCGUGUAGCAGUGAAAUGCGUAGAUAUGCGGAGGAACACCGAUGGCGAAGGCGGCCCCCUGGUUGGAUACUGACGCUGAGACGCGAAAGCGUGGGGAGCAAACAGG
RNAcentral lists this ribosomal RNA (253 nucleotides) under uncultured bacterium. RNAcentral describes it as "partial 16S ribosomal RNA". It matches the Rfam family "Bacterial small subunit ribosomal RNA", at positions 524 to 776 of the family's 1533-position model. The record is from RNAcentral.